Asparagus officinalis (garden asparagus) is the source of this 3996-nucleotide RNA transcript. RefSeq lists it as uncharacterized. The transcript has 5 exons. NCBI's taxonomy places the organism in Eukaryota, Viridiplantae, Streptophyta, Magnoliopsida, Asparagales, Asparagaceae. The record is from RefSeq and is a predicted model, not a curated record.
GGUACAUUCCCGUUACUUUCCCUCCCCUACCCGCAAUCCACUAAGCUUUUGCCCACCAUUAAAAUGGCAUUACGCGCCUUUUCCCCUCUCGUCGGAACCCUAAUUUUGAUUCGAUUGCAGGAGUGUUAAAAAGCUUGAUCCUGUUAUAUUAACAGAUGUCUCAAAGCUCUUCUUUUGAUGGAGAACCUUCUGGGACUGAUGUUGGGACCAUGGAAUUUCCAGGUGUUGGAGAGGCAAACUUUGUUUUUGAAAAUAAGAAUUUAAUCUACACUGAAGAAUAUCAAAUGCAAAAUGAGCUCAGGUCGCAACUAGAAAAAGAGAGUCAAACUGACACCAGUGCAACUAUUUUAUGGAAACAUGUCGUAAAGGGAAGAAAAUGUGGAAAUGCUCACGGGGGUUCUCACGUUUUUAAGUGCAAACAUUGCCAGAAGAUAUAUCGUGGGACUUAUACACGAGUUUAUGCACAUCUAAUGGGGCACAAGAAAGGCGAAAGUAAAGGAAUUGGUUACUGUUCUGUUGUGAAGGCUGACAAAAAUCUCCAGCAGCAGAUAAAGAGAGAGGUCGAGCAAGUUGAGAGCUCACCAAACGUUUUUCCGUUGAAGAAGUCAAAGACAAGUUCUUGCUCUGUUAUGGCAUCACAUGAACCUUCUUUAUCUUUAUCGUAUACAGGUUCUUUUGAUAAAGUCCCACCAAUGCAAGAUAGGAAUGAUGUUGAUUCAAAAGUCGUACGCUGUUUUUGUGCUAAUGGAAUCCCUUUCACUGUUUUAAGAUCACCAUAUUGGGAAGAAAUGGUGUCAGCAAUCAGUAAAGAACCAUACUACAAGAGCCCAUCAUGUGACAGAGCGCAUACUAUAUUGAAGAAUGAAAGGAACACAAUCGAAAGGGAAUUUGAUGAAUUCAAGAAGAAGUGGACUCAAUAUGGCAUUUCUAUUGACUCAAACGGUUGGAGAAAAGCCAAGAAACAAACCCUAAUAAACUUCUUUGCUUCGAACCAUUUCGGGUCUAUGUUUUUACGUGCUCUUAACUUUUUAGUUGUUGAGAAGGCACAGAAAAGCGUCUCACAUUACAUCUUAGAAGCAAUUGAAAAUAUGGGGCCAAAUAUUGUUAUUCAAUUUAUAAUAGACAACGCAGCUCUGUAAUUCUCUAGGUGAAGACUUGGGCAAAGCGUAUCCCUAUAUAUUUUGGACUCCAUGCAUGGUCUACACAUCGAAGUCAAUACUAAAGGAUACUAUAAAUUCUCUUCCUUGGCUUGAAAAGACAUAUACAAUAGCCAAAGGUAUAGGGAAUUAUAUCAUAUGUCAUUCCCAUGCAGUAGAAAUUUUAAAAGCCUAUUCUCAUCUGGCAGUAAUAACAGUUGCUAAUGAAGUCUCAGCCUCACACUGUAUUAUUCUUCAUCUUCUUCUUGAGGUAAAAGAAUCUCUGAUAUCCGCUGUCUUAUCUGAUCAAUGAGAACAGUGGGCUACUUUACCCAAUGUAGAUGAUAAAGUAAGGCUCACAGGAGCAGACGUUAAAGCAGCGGUUAUGUCAGAGAACUUCUGGGAAACAGUACAAUUGGCUUUAUCGAUUAUCAAACCAGUGUAUAAAAUGAUGAGAUUUAGCAAUCAAGAUGGCCCCAUCAUUGGAGAAGUAUGUGAGAAGAUGGAUAAUAUGUUAGGAGAAAUUGAAGACAACUUGAAAGAACGAGAGGAUAUCUUUACGGUUGUUAAAGAAAAGGUCUUUAAUUGGUGGAACAAUACAACUUUUCCGCUGCAAUGUUUAGCUUAUUCCCUCACUCCAAAGUAUUAUGAUGAAGAGUACCUUCAAAUUCCAGAUCCAUGUGGCAAAAAACGAUGCCCGCCAGACCAGGAUGAUGAUAUUUUUGAGGGUGCCAUGGCUGCAAUAUGUAAACUGCAUCAGAAUGAUGAACAAGCAGAUACUGUUCGUGUGCAGUUCAUGUCUUUUAUAGAGAAGAAGGGAAAGUUUUCCUCUCCAACAGCCAAAAGAGAUGCCAGAAAUCCAAAAAUAAAUGCUCAACAGUGGUGGAAGUUUCAUGGAGGGGAUACAAAAGAACUGAGAAACAUGGCGUUUAGAGUACUUGCACAAUCAAUUAGCACCUCCUCUGUUGAGAGGCCAUGGAGUACUUAUAGUUUUAUCCGUACUGCAAAACAAAAUAUAUUGAAUGCAAAUUAUGCAGAUGAUCUAUUAUACAUCCAUUCAAAUUUGCGAUUACUCUCCAGGUCUAGGCCCGAAUAUGAGCAAGGCCCACAUAGAAAAUGGGAUAUUAAUCCUGAUAUUUCUCCUGUCAAUGAAUGCGCUUUAAAAUGUGAGAAAAUGCACACUUUGGGUCUUGAUGAUGAAAGCUCAGUUUCAAAGAAAGAUUCCCAUUUUCAAAAUCCUAUCCAAGAGAUUUUCAGGAUUGUAGAUGGUGUUCCUCCUGAUAACCAUCAAUCUAGCGAUCAGAGUCAAGUUACGGGCCAUAGAGGUGGGUAUGUAGAGAGAGGAGGAGGUAGAUGGAGUCAAAGUGUGCUAGUGGUGGACGCGACCUAAAGGGGAAAUACUAAGAAAUUCUUGUGAGGUGAUAACAUUUUUUUACUAAGAUAAUAUACCGUUGACACAUAAUCAAGUGCUGAUGUUGGAAGCUUGCUCUCACAGCUGAAGAAAGCUGUUAACUUUCACUACAUAUUUUCAUCACAAUGCAGCUACACUUUCGUAAAAAAAAAAUCGCUGCUGGAGCUCCUGCCAUCUUAUUUGAUUGCGCUGGACAGAUGGAGACAUGUGGAUGGCCUAACCUCUGUAUGGUGUUGCCAACUAAAAUGAAGAAGAUGUAUAUUCUAAAGCGCCCAUCUUUUUCUUGCCAAUCAGCAGCUUAUUGGUGAGUAGUCCAACUCCACAAGCAUGAACUUGAUGAUGAUGAUGACAUAUCUUCAUUAGCUUCUUAACGCGUUCAUCGGGAUUGGAAUGUGGGGGGUUUGGGCUAAAAGGAGGAAUAAAGGCUUAUUAUUUUUACUUUAUGAGUAGCAGCAUGUGCUUCCUUAAGGAGGACAACCCCACUUAAGAUAACUUUGGGGUUUAGCUCUCAAGAAUCAAGGGCCAGCUAUCUCCAUUAUUCUUCAGUUAGGCAAUAUAGGGAAUUGAUGAGAGUUCAUCUAGGUUUAUGAUUGCUGUGUCAGCUUUACAGUUUUCACCAUGUUCAUGAAUCUUAAGUACUAUAAGACUUCACAAAUGGGAGUCAUUUAAUUAGAUUUGGUAAUGAUGGAAGUGAUGGAGUAUGAAGACAUAACGAAUAUGGGUUUCACAUGGAUCAAAACUACACUAUUUAUGUUUGAUAAUUCAGUUAAAGUAUAUACGUAGUCUGUCCACCUGUCAACUUGAUGUUAGGUUAUAAAAUGUUCAACUGGUUGACUGUAUAUGGAAUGAUUACAUAAACCUUCAAGUUGGAUGACUUAUAUUUAGAUGCGAACUUAAAAGUAAUUGAAUUAACGCUUCCUAUUUUUUGCACUUUCAUGAUGAAGAUCGCCUGUCUAGCUCUCUGUUUUGAUCUCACUUAUUUUUCUUAUGCUCAAAACUACAAACUAGGUCUUUUGGUGGUGAGUUUAGUACCCAUGACUCGUUGUAUAUCAUAGAAUUAAAGGUUAAUUACAUAAAUUCCCCAUUUUGAGAGCUUAUGAAGUCUAAGCUAAACUUGCCUCAGGAUAUAUGUAUAUGUUAUGUAAAUAAUUUGUUAACUCAGCUUUUGUUGUAUCAACAUAGAACUGAAAAUAAGGUGCAACUUCUAAGUCUAAAAUAAACUUGUCUGAAGAUGGAAGUGUUGAUUAAUUUUUCACCAUGGUUCACUUUCAUUACAUCAAUGAACUUGCCCGGAGUUGCUUAUGUUGAGCUAGUUGUUAACUCACUUCAUUUUGAACCAUGUACAAUUUAACUAUGUAUAAAGUGUAAAUCCAUCCAUCAUGAAUAGUUCUAUGCAUACAACAUGUUCUUCUUCUUCUUCUUUUUUUUUUGGAUGUAAUGCAAGAAUAU